CAGCAGCCGCGGGAAUACAGAGGGUGCGAGCGUUAAUCGGAUUUACUGGGCGUAAAGCGUGCGUAGGCGGCUUUUUAAGUCGGAUGUGAAAUCCCUGAGCUUAACUUAGGAAUUGCAUUCGAUACUGGGAAGCUAGAGUAUGGGAGAGGAUGGUAGAAUUCCAGGUGUAGCGGUGAAAUGCGUAGAGAUCUGGAGGAAUACCGGUGGCGAAGGCGGCCCCCUGGACAAAGACUGACGCUCAGGUGCGAAAGCGUGGGGAGCAAACAGGAUUAGAUACCCCGUAGUCCCUGUCUCUUAUACA
Molecule: ribosomal RNA, 301 nt
Filed under: uncultured bacterium
Lineage: Bacteria
Description: partial 16S ribosomal RNA
Rfam family: Bacterial small subunit ribosomal RNA
Source: RNAcentral